AUUAAUACCUUAAAGAUAGUGAUCCAUCACGCCUCAAAGCCUAUUCUCCACCCACUGCCUCAACAUCUACUGCUUAUGUAUGUGGUGAAGACACAGGACUUAUACUAGAAAAGCCAUUUUGCAUGGGUAAAGCCAAGAAAGGAACCAGAAAAAUAGACAUUGAAGAAGAAAAGAAACUGAUACAACUGAAACUAAAUGAACUCCUUUCAGAAAAUGCUUCAGAUAAAGCAAUUACAGAAGUCAUGAAGGAUUUCGGCAUUGAACGGGCAAGGGUGUAUGGGUGGCCAAACACCUAUGUAUUUACAAAGGCAAUGGGAGAGAUGCUUCUAAUGCAUUUGAAAGAGGAUUUGCCCCUUCUUAUAAUACGUCCCACCAUGGUCACAAGUACCUAUAAAGAACCAUUUCCCGGUUGGAUUGAAGGUGUAAGAACCAUUGAUAGCGUAAUUGCGGGCUAUGCCAAAGGGAAAGUUACAUGCUUUGUUUCUAAUCCACAAUCAAACCUAGAUGUGAUACCAGCUGAUAUGGUGGUGA
This 531-nucleotide unclassified non-coding RNA is filed under the name Hevea brasiliensis (rubber tree). Lineage: Eukaryota; Viridiplantae; Streptophyta; Magnoliopsida; Malpighiales; Euphorbiaceae. The record is from RNAcentral.